GAUAUUAGACAAACAACUCAUUCAACAAAGGCACUGUAUGAAAAUUUUUCAUCCAUAUUAAAGCACAUAUAUCCAUAAUAUUUGCUUAGCCUCAUCACCAAUCCAAGAUUAUCAGAAAAAUAGAAAAUGUAACUAAUGACUUGCUGAACUAUUUCCAACAGAGGCUACUGGUUCAUAUAUUGUUGCAUACCUGAAAAUGGGUCCUAUUCUCUUUAUGUUACCCAUGCUGCAAUACAUUUUUGCAAUCGAAAAGAUGGGUGUUCAUAGAAAAGACAGAUGCAACUUGCCAGGUGCAGGUAAAUAACAAGUACUUGGAAGAAGCUACCUU
RNAcentral lists this long non-coding RNA (328 nucleotides) under Sorghum bicolor (sorghum). RNAcentral describes it as "long non-coding RNA (SBIC_LNC010636)". The record is from RNAcentral. Lineage: Eukaryota; Viridiplantae; Streptophyta; Magnoliopsida; Poales; Poaceae.